Molecule: long non-coding RNA, 2030 nt
Organism: Chelonia mydas (Green sea turtle)
Lineage: Eukaryota; Metazoa; Chordata; Testudines; Cheloniidae
Exons: 3
Source: RefSeq, a predicted model, not a curated record
UUACGUAGACCCACCUCUUUGCUAUGCUGUUACUGAAUUGCCUCUGCAAUCUUCAGAAGUUGUGAAAGAAGAGCCCUUUCAAACAUAUAAACUAGGAAUUAUGCCUUUAAUAUCCAUGUUUUUAUAUACCUCAUUUCUUAGCCACCCUUGCUGCUGUGUGAAAGAUGUGGAAGGACCAAACCUUCAGGGUCACGUUUUUCUACUGCCUAACGCUAAAGAAAAGAACAUGGCUCUUGUCUUCUCAUUGAGGAUCUUGAAGCACUUCACAAACUUUGGUGAAUGAAACCUAACGCCAUGCUGUUGAGUAGUAUGCUCCCCAGUUUUUCAAUGGGAAAACGAUGCCCCAAAGUGGUGUUCACACUGCAAAAAAAAAAACAAGAAAAAAAGAACCCCAAACCCUGAAUCCAUUGCCUUUUCCUGUCUAUAAGCAACAUAGCAGUGCACACAGCUAUACACAGUCCCCUCCCAAUGGAUCAUCCAUCAGCUGAGCAAGAGGACAUUGCAGGCACUGAAUUUCUGGAUGAUUAUAGCACAUCUUGGAUAGUGUUAUACUAACAGAUCUGACAGAAGCAAGAACGGUUUCAAUACUCGUGUACCUAAAGCUGAAGUACUUAUCCAGUCAACUCUCCCAUGGAAUUUAGGUAUUGUUGAACCCGCUAGUCGUUUUGCCUGAGUAGAAAUGAAGAUGACAUGGCUGGGCUCUGUAAUAGUUUUUGUAUAGCACUUUUCAGCUAAACACAUAAAAUAUUAACUGAGAUUCACUGCCUUGCUGGGAGGUACUCUGAGCAUUAUUGCAGAUGGGUAAACUAAGGCAUAGAGAAAUGAAUGAGUUGCCAGAGGGAACACAGAGAGUCCAGAGGCAGGGCUGAGAAUCCAGGCUCUCUGUCCCCAGCUCUAAUCACUAGAUCUCUCUUCCUCCUCACUUUACUACUGGAGAAGUGGACAGGAGCGAAAAUAAAGGUUUUAAAGGAAUAUUUAAACCACCUGACUGACACGAAUCCUAUUAAAACCCCCCACGUUGAAUACUUAAAAGAAAGGCCAAAACUGAGCUUUUUGAUUCAACUCCCUUGAACUUCAGUGGUUCAGAUGAAAUGAAACCCAGACCUGUAGCACCCUAGUUUUAAUUUUGCAAAAUCAAGCCCCUAGUUGACAAACUACUGCAAACCCAACCAUGUUUUCUUUGCCUGUAUUAAUUUAAAAUCCAAAAGCUCUCAGGCAGUCUGGCUCUAUUAGGUCUCUUAUUUUUAUGCAGCCUCUCAAAUCUCAGAUUUUUUACUACUGCUUCUAAAAUGAAACGCACAUUGUAAGAUGGCUAAAUAUAGAAAGGAACGUUGUUACCAAUAUAUAAUCCUUGCAAUGCUUUACCUUUUGCGGAGAAACUCCCAUUCCUCCUUAGAAGAAACCCAGAAACUAACUCCCUACAGAGUGUCCCUAGCCAGCACAUAUUUGCUGCACUCAGGACACCUGUCAAAGAGGAACAGACUUUUAUAAGAUAAACAGAAAACCUUCAGUGAGCAAACUCCGGGAGGAGAAAGGAAUCUGCCAAGUUCCGGAUAUCCUGGACAGCAGUUAGCAAGCUUCCUUCAGCUGUCUCAGAGAAAAAUGUCACCUUCCUCCAGCCAAUUCCAGUUUUAUUUUCAACAGCCGACUAUGGACUUUUUAGGACAAUGGAGUAACUCAGACAUGUCCCCUUACUUUGGUCAUCUUUUGUCUAUAGUAGUCAAAGCCCCAGUAGUCUAGCCAAAUAGUAUGGUAGUCAAGUAAAAUGUUAGUGUCUGCUGCAUAUGAUUAAGUGUACCUGAAGGAUCUACUGGAUAUGAAUGACAAGGACAGAAGAACAAAGGGGCUGAGAAAUGAUAUACAAUCAGAACACAGAAUGUGUAUCCUGGAAAAUUUUCCUUCUCACUUAAGCUGAGUCAGAAUUAAAAGCUCAGCUUCAAGCCGUCUUGGAAUUUGGAAUAGUUCAGAUCUGGGUAUGAAUUUUGGACCCAUCUAUAGUCUCAGUGCAAAUUGCUCAGAAUAAAUUCUCU